RNAcentral lists this ribosomal RNA (253 nucleotides) under uncultured bacterium. RNAcentral describes it as "partial 16S ribosomal RNA". It matches the Rfam family "Bacterial small subunit ribosomal RNA", at positions 524 to 776 of the family's 1533-position model. The record is from RNAcentral.
UACGAAGGGGGCUAGCGUUGUUCGGAAUUACUGGGCGUAAAGCGCGCGCAGGCGGCCAUUCAAGUCAGGGGUGAAAGCCCAGAGCUCAACUCUGGAACUGCCCUUGAAACUGCAUGGCUUGAGUACGAGAGAGGUGAGUGGAAUUCCCAGUGUAGAGGUGAAAUUCGUAGAUAUUGGGAAGAACACCGGUGGCGAAGGCGGCUCACUGGCUCGUUACUGACGCUCAGGCGCGACAGCGUGGGGAUCAAACAGG